UUAUUUUGGGGUGUUACAGGUACACACGUGAGUGGCGCGACGGCGCGAGGUAAGGCCGUAACUCCGUAGAUAGCGCCCUACCCCAGAGACCAGAGGUAGCAGUACUCCGAGGUGGUCUAGCGUAGGGGUUUAGAGAAACAAAGAACAAACUUGUAUUAAGUGAUGUAAUAAAUAGAUUGUAUUUGGAAGUUGAAUGUAAAAGAAAAUUGUGAUGUAAAAGCAUGUAGUAUGAAUAUUGUAAUAGCAUUAGUUGUUUUAUGU
RNAcentral lists this long non-coding RNA (261 nucleotides) under Ananas comosus (pineapple). Its description in RNAcentral is "long non-coding RNA (ACOM_LNC010395)". Lineage: Eukaryota; Viridiplantae; Streptophyta; Magnoliopsida; Poales; Bromeliaceae. The record is from RNAcentral.